Molecule: long non-coding RNA, 263 nt
Filed under: Homo sapiens (human)
Lineage: Eukaryota; Metazoa; Chordata; Mammalia; Primates; Hominidae
Description: HSALNT0300339
Source: RNAcentral
UGAAAGGUAUCUCAAUUCAGAGGUACCCGAAUUAGAGGUACCCACUUAUGGGUGGGUAAAUUACUGCAAGAGAAGAUCAAGGAAGUCACUCGCCAUCUGUGAGGGAGGCAGCGGAGCCCCAGAGGCACUGGGGAGAGGCAGCUGGGCCUCGAGCUUGUGGUUGCAGAUUGGAGCUGGCCAGGGCAGAGAUGCUGUGCUGAGAUGGAAGCGGUGGCAGCUGAAACCUGGAUAAUUAGAGCCGGCCGAACACCUUUUGACAAGGA